RNAcentral lists this small RNA (337 nucleotides) under Arabidopsis thaliana (thale cress). RNAcentral's name for it is "ATSL093180". Lineage: Eukaryota; Viridiplantae; Streptophyta; Magnoliopsida; Brassicales; Brassicaceae. The record is from RNAcentral.
GGCUUGAUUAGUGGAUAAUUAGAGUCUAAUUACCUGGUUAACUCACAAGGACACAACAGAAAACAAGUGAGAAAACAAGUUCAACACAAGACAAAAGAAUUCAAACACAACUAGACAACGCUAACAGUGACUAUCAAGUACACAACACAACCACACUUGCAAUAGAAAGCAAUUCAAACACAACACUACACAAAGUAUAAUGAAUAAGCGGUCAAGAUUUCAGACAACACAAUAAGUUGUCAAUAAGAUUUCAGACAACACAAUAAGAUUUCAGACACAACUAGACAACGCUAACAGUGAUUAUCAAGUACACAACACAACCACACUUGCAAUAGAA